This 430-nucleotide ribosomal RNA is filed under the name Pseudomonadota bacterium. RNAcentral's name for it is "Proteobacteria bacterium partial 16S ribosomal RNA". It matches the Rfam family "Bacterial small subunit ribosomal RNA", at positions 355 to 776 of the family's 1533-position model. Lineage: Bacteria; Pseudomonadati; Pseudomonadota. The record is from RNAcentral.
UGGGGAAUAUUGGACAAUGGGGGGAACCCUGAUCCAGCCAUGCCGCGUGUGUGAAGAAGGCCUUAUGGUUGUAAAGCACUUUAAGCGAGGAGGAGGGUACUGGUAUUAAUACUACCAGCUACUGGACGUUACUCGCAGAAUAAGCACCGGCUAACUCUGUGCCAGCAGCCGCGGUAAUACAGAGGGUGCGAGCGUUAAUCGGAUUUACUGGGCGUAAAGCGUGCGUAGGCGGCUAAUUGAGUCGGAUGUGAAAUCCCCGAGCUUAACUUGGGAAUUGCAUUCGAUACUGGUUAGCUAGAGUGUGGGAGAUGAUGGUAGAAUUCCAGGUGUAGCGGUGAAAUGCGUAGAGAUCUGGAGGAAAACCGAUGGCGAAGGCAGCCAUCUGGCCUAACACUGACGCUGAGGUACGAAAGCAUGGGGAGCAAACAGG